CAUUACUGAGUUUACGCUCUAUAACCCUUUGUGAACGUACCUAACCGUUGCUUCGGCGGGCAGGGGAAGCCUCUCGCGGGCCUCCCCUCCCGGCGCCGGCCCCCACCACGGGGACGGGGCGCCCGCCGGAGGAAACCAAACUCUAUUUACACGACGUCUCUUCUGAGUGGCACAAGCAAAUAAUUAAAACUUUUAACAACGGAUCUCUUGGUUCUGGCAUCGAUGAAGAACGCAGCGAAAUGCGAUAAGUAAUGUGAAUUGCAGAAUUCAGUGAAUCAUCGAAUCUUUGAACGCACAUUGCGCUCGCCAGCAUUCUGGCGAGCAUGCCUGUUCGAGCGUCAUUUCAACCCUCAAGCACCGCUUGGUUUUGGGGCCCCACGGCCGACGUGGGCCCUUAAAGGUAGUGGCGGACCCUCCCGGAGCCUCCUUUGCGUAGUAACUAACGUCUCGCACUGGGAUCCGGAGGGACUCUUGCCGUUAAACCCCCAAAUUCUUUACAGGUUGACCUCGGAUCAGGUAGGAAUACCCGC
Molecule: ribosomal RNA, 530 nt
Filed under: Colletotrichum acutatum
Lineage: Eukaryota; Fungi; Ascomycota; Sordariomycetes; Glomerellales; Glomerellaceae
Description: eukaryotic LSU rRNA
Rfam family: 5.8S ribosomal RNA (bases 188-341)
Source: RNAcentral